Equus caballus (horse) is the source of this 3299-nucleotide long non-coding RNA. RefSeq lists it as uncharacterized. The record is from RefSeq and is a predicted model, not a curated record. Lineage: Eukaryota; Metazoa; Chordata; Mammalia; Perissodactyla; Equidae.
AUGAUGACAUUGGCAUUCACCAAUGGCAGGCGCUUCCAGAAGGCUCCAGGAUGGGCUCAGGGCCUGGCUCCCUUCACAGGCAGGAAGCCCCCAAGACCUGGGUUUGCGGGACUCUGGUUUAUGGAGGCACCAGAGUCCAUGCUGGUCGGCCCACCCCUCUGGGCCCCACCUGUCAGGUGUGACGUUCCUGGGGGAGGGCAGGUGGGGCUUCACCCCCAGAGGCUUGGCUCCACUAAUCACGUCAGAUCAAAGGACUGAGAACCGUGCAUUCAGGGCACGUUGGGGAGAGAUUUCGACAUGGGAGCAGGAAUUCGCCUUUGUGGCAGUGGUGCCCUGGCCUGGCCAGCUGCCAUUGCCUGUCCCAUGAGUGGUCAGGGAGGCUGUAAUGACCGGCCAGCACUGGGGCGUUUCACUGCAGAGCCAGCAAUGACUUCCUGGACCCUGGGCAUCAAGGGUGGGGCGGAGGGGUCGGCCCAGGCUGACCCUUUGCCAGAUCGGGAGCUGUGGGGCCGACAGGAGACUCUAAGCCUGGAGCGGCUGGAGCAAAGAUGACUGAGGGUGUUGUCCUUGACCACCCGGUGACCUGCAGCCUCUUCUCCCUUGAGUCACACCUCACUCAAGACCCCUACCCUGGAGCCACAGCCUGGCUCAAUCCCCCUCAGCAUCGAGUCAAGGGUCCUGAAGGCUCCAUCUCCAAGAUCCUGGGGGAAAGGUAUCACAUUUUCAGCGUCUGGGCCUGAAUCCACUGUCCCGUCAGCGGAGGGCCAGCUGGGAGAGGCUGCAGUGACCACCGAGAGCGUGUCCCCAGCCCCUGAUGAGACCCUCUGCCAGCCCCCUGCCUGGUGCUGAUGCCAAGCUGAUUGCUAGUGGACGUUGAGUGAAAAGCAAACAGAUAAGGCUGGUCCGGCAGGAUGCGGGGUUUGGGCCCCGGGUGGCAGCAUGGGGAACACCACACGCCCGGGCCAGGGGGUUAUCUGGGCUGCCUUUGCCUUUCAAGCUUGUAGGUGGCGGGUUAGGGUGCAUUUGCUCUCUGCUGGUGGCUGGUGAGGGGGGCUUUGGGGAGUGUCAGGGACACAGGCUGCCCUCUAUGUGACCCUGGGAGCUGGUGGCCCAGUGGUGGUGGCCACUGGGGUAUGGCUGGGCCAUGCACAUGACUCCUCCCCCUGGAGUCUGCCAGUGGUGAUGGAGCAUGUCAGCUUUCAAAUAAAAUGGCCAGUUAUUUUACCAGCAAAAUGAAUUUAUUCAGGAAUAGCAAAAGAAUUGCGAUUUGGGACAUGCAAACUACUUGGAACCACAGGCAAGUCCGGAGAACAAAGGAGAGGAGCUGCUUUUAUAGAGAAAAAGGGGAAGUAGGGAGGGGGCUGUUCUAAAGGAAAGCCACUGGGGGAGAGUAAGCGUUCAGGUGGUGACAGCUCCUCAUUGGCUGAGCUGCAGCCCUUUCCCAUUGGCUGGGCUUGUUACUGGGCAAGAAAAAACCUUCCUCCUGCUGGGGCAGCAAAGUAGUAGCCAACUUCCUGUCUGAGAUGCUGGGUCCCUCUCUUCCUGUUGGGGUAACUGAGGACACGUGGUGGGGCGGAGAGCUCCCCCUGCAGGCCUUCCUGAUCCCAUGUAGUCCAGUUUCCACUGUGAAUCUUCACAAGCUCCCGGGAGGGGACCAUGUUGGGGACAUUCUCACUGCGAGGUGUCUAGUUCAGGCUGCUGCACCAAAGCACUCAGAUGCGAGAGCUUAUCAACAACAUGCGUGUGCUUCUCACACCCUGGAGGCUGGGGUCUGAGAUCAGGCUGCUGGCAGGUCUUCUCUCUGUGUCCUCCUAUGGGGAGAGAGGGGCAGGAAGGGAGCUCUGGGGUCUCUCCUUAUAGGGGCACUAAUCCUAUCAUUGGGGCCCUACCCUCAUGACCUUAUCACCUCCCCAAAGCCUCACCUCCUAAUUCCAUCAUCCUGGGGCGAGGGCUUCAACAUAUGAAUUUUGGGGAGACUCAAGCAUGCAGUCUAUAACAGGGGGUUCCUCACUGUGGAAGAAAAUCAGGUUGGGGGGCCCAGCAGGAAGCACAAGUCAAGUGAGCUCUGAGAGCAGAUGCAGCUCAGAGCUUGGAGGGCCCUGAGCAGCCGUGAAGGCUUCGUGGAGGAGGUGGGCCAGAAGAAAAGCAGCCAGACCCUCAAGGCUAGGAGCCAGGCCGGGGUGAGGAGAGGCCCCAUCAAGCCUGAAGUACCCACAUGGCUGUGGAGACACCGGUGAGAGGGUAGGAGCCAGACCAGAGGAUGUCCUAGGCCUAGAGUGAGCUGGGACGAAUGGGUGAACUGAGGACCAAGAGUCGGGUUGGGGUCAGGGUCCUGCACAAAGAGGCAGGGGCAGCGACUCAGGCACUGGCUAGCAGCAGGUGAGGGUGGGCAGGGCCGGGUCUGAAGAGUUCCAGGGGACGCUGGCACGGACCGGGUGUGGCUGGAGCAGGGCCAGGCUCCCCAGACUCACAAUGGCCAGUUCUGCGUGGCUGGUCAAGGAGAAUGCAGAGCACGCUGUAUGGGAUCAGGAGGACUUCCAGGGCCACUGACGCCAGGUGCUGGCCCAGGGGAGCCUCGGGCCCCAACCUGCUGUCCAGCGGACAAGAGCGUCAUGCUGGCCGCCUGUGGGAGGUGCUGUUCAGUUACCGGCAGCACCUGGGUCAGCUAGUGCCACCACGCACAGAGGCAGCUGCCAGGGGCCCCAGGACACGUGGACUGGAAAGCCAAGGCCCUACAGAAGUCCGGGUGGCAGGGCAGGUGGCCCCACAGCCUGACCCUGGUGACUCUGGGGGUCAGAGGCCCCGGCCCCACCCAGUAUCAGACAUUGAGGUCCCUCUGACCCCAAUCUUCCCCCUAACUGGAGCACAAGCAGAGGUGACAGAGGACGGCACUGCCCAUUCACCCUCGGAACCUGGCGGUGGCCUCUGCGGACCUGCUCCUGGUCACAGUAGAUUCGUUUGCAUUUUCUGGAAUUUUAUAUAAAUAGAAACAGUAUCUGCUGCUUUUCUGUCUGGCUUCUUUCACUCAACUUUUGAAUGAAAGAAAUUAUUUUGAGUUUCAUCCAUGCUGUGGUUGGAGUCAAUGGUUCGUUCCCAUUUUAUCGCUGAGCAGUACGCCCUGGUGUGGGUGUGCCACAGUCUCUUCACCCCUUCGCCUCCUGGUGGCCACUGGGAUGUUUCCAGUUUGGGGCUAAAUUAAGCUGGGACAUGUGCGCACCCGUCUCCAGUGAGUGCAUGCUUUCGUUUAUGCUGGGUAAAUACUCGGGAGACGCCCGGCUGGAUCAUAUGGUUGGUGUCUG